GAUGAAGAACGUAGCGAAAUGCGAUAAGUAAUGUGAAUUGCAGAAUUCAGUGAAUCAUCGAAUCUUUGAACGCACAUUGCGCCCGCUAGUAUUCUGGCGGGCAUGCCUGUCCGAGCGUCAUUUCAACCCUCAAGCCCCCGGGCUUGGUGUUGGGGAUCGGCGAGCCUCCGCGCCCGCCGUCCCCUAAAUCUAGUGGCGGUCUCGCUGUAGCUUCCUCUGCGUAGUAGCACACCUCGCACUGGGAAACAGCGCGGCCACGCCGUUAAACCCCCAACUUCUGAACGUUUGACCUCGGAUCAGGUAGGAAUACCCGCUGAACUUAAGCAUAUCAAGCGGAGGA
Molecule: unclassified non-coding RNA, 340 nt
Filed under: soil metagenome
Description: partial contains 5.8S ribosomal RNA, internal transcribed spacer 2, and large subunit ribosomal RNA
Rfam family: 5.8S ribosomal RNA (bases 1-120)
Source: RNAcentral